Molecule: long non-coding RNA, 3648 nt
Organism: Paramormyrops kingsleyae
Lineage: Eukaryota; Metazoa; Chordata; Actinopteri; Osteoglossiformes; Mormyridae
Source: RefSeq, a predicted model, not a curated record
AUGCAAAAGAAUUUGGAUGUUUGGAUAGUUGCAGUGCCUUUCAUUUUGAAAACUAUCUACAGGAGCUUAAAAAACUAAUUAGCUCUGGAAGACGUCCUCCUACUCAAGUCGUGAAAAGAAUUGAGGAGAGCAGAGUUUUAAUUCAAACCAAAAGCAGACAAACUAAGGAAGAUGCAGUUGGUCUAAAGUAUCCCAACAACACAUUCAUGCUAAAAGAAACAUCUUGUGAAGUGGUUUCAGUUGUUUCUGAGAGGAAGAACAGUGGAAGAAUGCUCCAGUGUACAGUCUAUGAACAGGUUGAGCCGUUAUUUCUCAGCCCUUGUGACUCUCGUUUGAUUGGAGCGUACAGAGUGCAUGUGAGAAACGCACGAAUGAAAAUUGUAUCUGAAGACUGCUUGGAACAGAGGAACAUCUUUUUUCUAUAUUUUGUUCAUUUUUGGUGUUCAAUAGUAGCUAUAUUGUUAUUGGCCGCGGAACAACGCUGCAAAAUGGUGAAAAGAGGGGAUAUGGCAGACAAACAAUUAUGGCCUAAAUACCAAGUCAGAGUCUUCACGUUUACAGACAACUAUCAAUUGGCAAGGGACAGGGCACAAAAAGGACUUGAAACAUCUAAUGUUGAGUCUGAUGGGGGCAGUAUGAGGAAGGUGCGGCAUCCUGCAAGAUUUAUAUAGGACUCCUCCAGUGAAGAUGAAGAGUUCCUGUCGUGAAGGAAAAAUAAAGCUAGGUGUACUAUGAGUUCUUCUUUGGACAGGGGAAGUUCACAAGUUUGUUCAUCACCAGUUGUCAGACCUACUUCUAUCUCUUCAAUGCAUGAUGCCAACUUACAAGCUAUCAAGAGCUUUAUUGAGGCUUCUGAAAAGAGAAUUAUGAUGAAGUUAGAGAGGAUGCAGGAUGACUUUCAAAAUGCAAUCCAAGGAUUACAACAAAUAUCUGCACCCUCCCCAUCACAUGAACAAGUGAUAUGGGAGAAACCAUGUGAGACUCAACAGGAUAUAGUAGGUCUGUGCAGCAACUUAAAAAACCUGGCACACAGAAGAAAAAUGGGCACCGGAGGAAAGAGCGACAAUCGUUUGGGUAACCGAGUCCCCCCAGAGAAAAGAGUCUCCAAAGGAAGGACCUUCUGGUAGGCCAGCUGAGCAGACCCCAGGAAAUGGCAAAGCAGAAUUUGUGAGGAGUUCCGCCCCAUCUGGCACCUCAGCCCCGCCCCUCAGUGGGGGCGGAAGUACCAGCUCCACCUUUCUGAAGAGGAAGAAGAGCCCUCCGGCCAAGGGGAGGCGGCAUGCAGGUCUUCUGGCACACCGGAGGCAGGUCUGCCAGCCCUGGAGCUAUAGACUGGACAGCAGCAGUUCUGACUCUCCCACAUCUGACAAGGGCAGCCCUGAUGACACCCCUGCUGUUCGCUUCACCGCAACUGGCACAAAAGACACCCAAAAAAACCUGGGGCCCUGCAGCUAUUCGUGGAAUUUCUGUGGUUGAACCUGCUGCCUCAGAUACCAUCCCCAGCAAAGAAAGGAUAACAUCCAGCACUGAAGUCUCAAGCGUCUUCAUUAAAGCAGUUACCCCGGGUGUAGCUGUCUGUACACCAUUACCUGUGAGUGCUUCACCGUUCGCUAGAUGUUCCCCUACAGCAAAAGAUUCAAACAACACUCCAGAUGCUCACUGGUCAGAUUUAGAGUGGAUCUCUUGCUACCUUAACUUGCUCCACUAGAAGUAAAAUAUUUGGCUCCUGUGCUCAAGUAUGAUGUACUCUGUUCAUCAAAGCACCUGCAGAGCCCCAAUCCCAAAAUACCUCUCCCAACCAGUAACCUUCAGGAGUGAAAUCUUGGGCUACUGGAAGGAUCCAGGCUGCCCCUUUAAGUGGAUCAAAGCUCGGCUCCUCACUUCUGCCAGGGGCUGCAUUAAAAACAGAGUCUGCUACUGAGAGAAGGUCUCUCUGUCCUGAAACAUUUUAUGGAUUUUACUGGUAUUUGUGGAAAACACACAAAAUGUGUUUUUGCAACAUUCUUGUGUGCAAAAUCUGGUGCUUUUGGAAUCUUUUUGCCAAUUCUGCAAACCCCUUGAAGCACCAUAGGGGAAUUUAGCUGCUGUAUCUCCUGCUAAAUCAACACCAGAAACUAGCCUGGGUAGAAACAAUCAACAUGCCUCAAAGACUUCAGUCUCAAGUGACCUGCCGAAGUGUGGUUCCUGUUCCCUUCACUCUGCUCUGGAUUGUGAUACAUACCCCACAGCUAAGCUUCAUAAACUGAAAAAAUCACUUAAAAUAUCUCCUAAAAUAAAGACUUCAGUCCCAUCUAAGAAGGCUUCUGGAGCUCCAAAUGUGUCUGACUGCAAGAUUAGCCAAAAACGGGGGGGAGAGAGCUCCUCAUUGUGCUGCAAAUUUUGGGAUGAAAGCUAAGCCUACUGCAAAUGCCCCGUCAUUGAGGAGGCCCUUGUCUUGUUUGGCUGCAAAACCACAGCAUCUCCUAAAAACUACUGGCUCCAAAUUGAAACCCUCAGGUCCAUCUCACAGGACUCCCAGAUGCCCCAAGGUGACACCAAACAACCCCCUCAUCCAGCUGUACUGGGGAUUGCUCUGCGGGACCGGGGUCCCAUUGCUGUGCUGGGUCCCCAUCAGGACACAUGCUGGACACUGGGGAGAAAACCCCUGCUAAAGACAGUCCAUUCUCCAGGCUUAAACCUCCAAAGGAGACACGGCCAAAAGCUACAGGCCAGGGAGGAAGCAGGGAAUGCAAGAGAGUGGGAGGGGCCUGCAGGCUGGCCGCUACUCUCACAAACCCUUCAUUGGCUUUCCUAGGUCCAUCAGGAUCCAACACUUCAGGAAGCAAGCCUUCACCAUUUGAUGAUGAAGCCUUUUGUUCUCCUGUACUUGAACUGGCCAGCCAUAUUGCUCCUGAACCCAAACCCGCCCUUCCCAAGCUGAAGAGUGAGAAGGAAAUGCAACAGGCCUGCCCAGAGCCCCCCAGGUCCCCUGUCGAGCCCAAAGGCUGCAAACUGCAGAGCAGAGAAACGGCCACUGUCCUCCCCAGGCCUGACAGUUCCGGUCCCUCACUUGCAACACAAAGUCCCUCUUGGACCUUCCGCCUGGACUCGAAGACUCCCUGCUGCUUCAGACCAGUGAGGGUACCCCCUCUGGCAAAGCAGAGAAUCUUUCACUGAAGAGCUUUGAGUUCCUUUUGAGGGAAAGCCGCAGGAGGUGCGAUGUCCAUGUUUAUGGGUUAUUUUUUAAGAAGACAUUGGAGCUCAGAGGACCAACAUGGUUAAAUGUUUGGCAUCACAGUGAAUCUAUCCAUCUUUUAACCACUAAUCCUGGGCAGGGAUGUGGGGGGUCUUGAACCUAUCUAAGAAGCACAAGGCAGGUGUGCACCCUGGACAGGAUGCCAGUCCAUCGCAGGGAACAGACACACACAUGCCCACACUCAAAAUUAUACUCUGCGGGUAAUUUAGCAAUACCAAUUAGCCUAACUGCAUGAGUUUGGACUGUGGGAGAUUUACUUAAUUUCAUUAUCUUUUAUGAAUGUUGUAUUUUUAGAAAUAAUCUUAUUUAUUUCUUUGACUGGCGAUUUUCAUGAUAUAUUUUGACUGAAAUUCAUUUCUUCUGUUUUUGCGUACUGUCAUUCUUAGACGAAUUUAUAAAGACAAUUGGAUUAA